RNAcentral lists this ribosomal RNA (301 nucleotides) under uncultured bacterium. RNAcentral describes it as "partial 16S ribosomal RNA". It matches the Rfam family "Bacterial small subunit ribosomal RNA", at positions 509 to 807 of the family's 1533-position model. The record is from RNAcentral.
CAGCAGCCGCGGUAAUACAGAGGAUGCAAGCGUUAUCUGGAAUGAUUGGGCGUAAAGCGUCUGUAGGUGGCUUUUCAAGUCCGCCGUCAAAUCCCAGGGCUCAACCCUGGACAGGCGGUGGAAACUACCAAGCUGGAGUACGGUAGGGGCAGAGGGAAUUUCCGGUGUAGCGGUGAAAUGCGUAGAUAUCGGAAGGAACACCAGUGGCGAAGGCGGCUUUUUGGCCUGUAACUGACACUGAGGCGCGAAAGCGUGGGGAGCAAACAGGAUUAGAUACCCCAGUAGUCCCUGUCUCUUAUAC